Long non-coding RNA from Bos taurus (domestic cattle), 1203 nucleotides. The record is from Ensembl. Lineage: Eukaryota; Metazoa; Chordata; Mammalia; Artiodactyla; Bovidae.
CCCUGGCCAACCCCAUCAGCCCCCCAUGCUUCCUGAGCUCUGCUGAGCCCUGCAGCUCAUCUCCUCCUGGCUCCAGAAGUCAGACGAAACCCUGAAGGAGAGCAGAGGCGGAAAAAUGUUCCUGUACACGCACCCGGAGGCUUUUGCAGGAGGCGGCUGUUGGAGAACUGGGAAAACAAGCCAAGAAACAAGAGAGAGGAAAAAGACCACGCCUCGCUUGGCAGAUUCCUAAUGGCCCAGGAGACCUGAGGCUUUACAGUGGGAGGCCGGUGGGGGCUGGCUCGGGUGGGAGGGAAGGGCAGGCCGAAGGACAGCCACUUGCUGGCCAGUGACCUUGGGCGGGAUGCUGCCUGCUUCCCUCUGGUGAGAAUGGGGAGGAGGGGGCAGGGGCCAGGCUGGCCCGCUAAGGUCACAGGAAGGCCCCUUCCAGCCUGAAACGCGAUCUCGGGAUGUGGGGCCUGCCAACCUGCAGCGACCCUGGGCCAGCAGAGAUGAAAGGCUGCCUGUCCCCGGCUUCCGGACCCCCGGGGCCACAGUGCCUCCAGCUUGAAGGGCAGCAAAGCGGCUGCAGCUGGCUGAACCCGGUUACUGGGCUCCCCCCACCACCACUACCACCACCACCACCCUCCCCCACCACCUGAUGUCCUUCAACCCUCCCUUCCCUGUUUUGCAGAGGACACUUGGAGCCCAGAGAGGGCUGGUGACCUGCCCGAGGUCACACAGCAAGUUGGAGGCUGAGCCAGGACUCACCACAAAGUCUUUAGAUUCCAAGGCCAGGCCUCAUUCCCUUUCCUGGAAACUUGGCUGCCUGGGGGGGCUUACCCUGGGGAGUUGGAGAGACCCAGGGUUAGGGAGGACAGUUGGGAGCUGUGUCUGUUUGAAGUCACAGCUUAAUGUUGAUUAAAGUGCCUUAAAAAAAAAAAAAAGACGAAAGGAACAUUCCCAGCCCCUGCCAUGAGCCUGGACUUGCUCUGCUGGCAGGGGAAGGAAUGGUGGCCAGCUGCGGCCUCAGUUCCUGCUGCUCCCGCCCCAGCAGACAGAGGGACAAAGGCCUCUUCUCAGCCUGUCCCCUCCAGCCCCCUGGAUCAGAGCAACAACCAGGAGGCUCUGUCACUGACCAGCUAAGUCCCUGUUUCUCUCUAGGUCUUAGUGCCCUUUCAGGAAAUGGGGGCAGAGUAUCUGCCUGACCUACUUCUCAGCACC